RNAcentral lists this long non-coding RNA (315 nucleotides) under Vitis vinifera (wine grape). RNAcentral's name for it is "long non-coding RNA (VVIN_LNC001475)". Lineage: Eukaryota; Viridiplantae; Streptophyta; Magnoliopsida; Vitales; Vitaceae. The record is from RNAcentral.
CAACCCGGCCUACAUCCACUCUCCUCUAACUUCAAUCCCAAGCUUGAGGUUCCACUAAUCCAAGGCUUCCAAACCAAGCCUUCAAGCAAUACAAUUGGAUUAUGGUUCCAAUUCACCCUCUUGGACUUUUGGCUCCAAGCACCCUUUACACUUCUCAAGAGAUAUCCCACUCUUGAACAACCCCUCAAGUGAUACCCCACACUUGAGAAAAUUCCUCUCAAAGAUUUACAAAUGAAUGAUAUCUCAAAAAUCCUAGCACAAGAACUUUAAGCUCAAAUGAUACAAGAAAAACUAGGAUUGAAUGGUGCACUAAAG